Long non-coding RNA from Zeugodacus cucurbitae (melon fly), 826 nucleotides. RefSeq lists it as uncharacterized. The record is from RefSeq and is a predicted model, not a curated record. Lineage: Eukaryota; Metazoa; Arthropoda; Insecta; Diptera; Tephritidae. The transcript is spliced from 3 exons.
UAUACUUUUUUGUGUGCUUGUUUCUUUUGACGUUUGUUUUUCCAUUCAAAUAAAAAUAUUUAUAAUAUAAAUGAAAUGGCAGAAAAUAAAAAUUUGUGCCAAAAAUUAUAAAAAUAACUGCAUUUGUUCUAGCAUUUAUAUUGUUAGUCAAAACAUUUCUGUGUUUUCUUUUGUCAUUUGCCAUACUCGAAGAACCGCCUGAGGAUUGGCCUCAAAGGCUUAAAGAUGACUGUCAUCCCAAAUGGUAUAGUUGGUUCUCGCUAAUUCUGAACGCUGUUUUUGUGGUCUAUUUUGUUGUGGUCUAUUCUUAUAUGUAUUUUGGUAUAUCUACUAUAUGCACUGCCAUACAAAUAUGUACUCGUUACUGCAGCAAUAACAAUUUGAUCACAUUUACCUCUCUUUAGACACACAAAUUUAACCUCUUGGUGCUUAUUGGGGUAACUGCUUACCUCAUAGUUUCCGUAACAGCUCAUAUCAUAUUGUGGAUAGAACAGACAAAAACACAUAUGAUGAUGCAAUUAAAUUGAAUGGGAACCGCGUUGUCCUUCGUUUGUAGUCCAUUAUCCUACAUUCACUACCGAAGAAUUAUUGCCGAUGAGCGAAUGCAAGAAAUGGAGGAGAGAAAAUCAUCAGAAAGUUAGCAAGGAUGAACUAUAUAUGAAAUUAUUGACAAUAUAUAGAUACAUUUCACGGUUUCAAUAUUUUAACGAAAUAAUGUCUCAGUUCCAAUAAAUACUUUCGAGAUCUUCGAAACCCUAAAUUGUCUUAAGAGCUUGGGGGCUUGUGAGUAACGAGUUCUUUCGAAUUAUUUUACGUUUUUUUAAGU